UACAGAGGGUGCGAGCGUUAAUCGGAAUUACUGGGUGUAAAGCGUGCGUAGACGGUUUCGUAAGUCGGGUGUGAAAUCCCCGGGCUCAACCUGGGAAUUGCAUUCGAAACUGCGAGGCUAGGGUACGGAAGAGGGAAGCGGAAUUUCUGGUGUAGCGGUGAAAUGCGUAGAUAUCAGAAGGAACAUCAGUGGCGAAAGCGGCUUCCUGGUCCAGUACCGACGUUCAGGCACGAAAGCGUGGGGAGCAAACAGG
This 253-nucleotide ribosomal RNA is filed under the name uncultured bacterium. RNAcentral's name for it is "partial 16S ribosomal RNA". It matches the Rfam family "Bacterial small subunit ribosomal RNA", at positions 524 to 776 of the family's 1533-position model. The record is from RNAcentral.